AUUGAACGCUGGCGGCAGGCCUAACACAUGCAAGUCGAACGAGUGGCGGACGGGUGAGUAAUGUCUGGGAACCUGCCUGAUGGAGGGGGAUAACUAAUGGAAACGGUAGCUAAUACCACAUACCAUAAGAUGUGCCACGACGGGAUUAGCUUGUGGGGGGGGUAACGGCUCACCAAGUCGACGAUCCCUAGCUGUUCUGAGAGGAUGACCAGCCACACUGGAACUGAGACACGGUCCAGACUCCGACGGUAUGCAGCAGUGGGGAAUCUUGCGCAAUGGGCGCAAGCCUGAUGCAGCCAUGCCGCGUGUAUUAAGAAGGUCUUCGGGUUGUAAAGUACUGUCAGCGGGGAGGCGUUACCCGCACAAGAAGCACCGGCUAACUCCGUGCCAGCAGCCGCGGUAAUUC
This 406-nucleotide ribosomal RNA is filed under the name uncultured bacterium. RNAcentral's name for it is "partial 16S ribosomal RNA". It matches the Rfam family "Bacterial small subunit ribosomal RNA", at positions 30 to 526 of the family's 1533-position model. The record is from RNAcentral.